UAGGGAAUCUUCCACAAUGGACGCAAGUCUGAUGGAGCAACGCCGCGUGAGUGAAGAAGGUUUUCGGACCGUAAAGCUCUGUUGUUGGUGAAGAAGGGUAGAGGUAGUAACUGGCCUUUAUUUGACGGUAAUCAACCAGAAAGUCACGGCUAACUACGUGCCAGCAGCCGCGGUAAUACGUAGGUGGCAAGCGUUGUCCGGAUUUAUUGGGCGUAAAGCGAGCGCAGGCGGAAGAAUAAGUCUGAUGUGAAAGCCCUCGGCUUAACCGAGGAAUUGCAUCGGAAACUGUUUUCUUGAGUGCAGAAGAGGAGAGUAGAACUCCAUGUGUAGCGGUGGAAUGCGUAGAUAUAUGGAAGAAUACCAGUGGCGAAGGCGGCUCUCUGGUCUGCAACUGACGCUGAGGCUCGAAAGCAUGGGUAGCGAACAGGAUUAGAUACCCUUGGUAGUCCAUGCCGUAAACGAUGAGUGCUAAGUGUUGGGAGGCUUCCGCCUCUCAGUGCUGCAGCUAACGCAUUAAGCACUCCGCCUGGGGGAGUACGACCGCAAGGUUGAAAC
RNAcentral lists this ribosomal RNA (555 nucleotides) under uncultured bacterium. RNAcentral describes it as "partial 16S ribosomal RNA". It matches the Rfam family "Bacterial small subunit ribosomal RNA", at positions 355 to 900 of the family's 1533-position model. The record is from RNAcentral.